RNAcentral lists this ribosomal RNA (485 nucleotides) under Halomonas sp. S-C59. Its description in RNAcentral is "bacterial SSU rRNA". It matches the Rfam family "Bacterial small subunit ribosomal RNA", at positions 1 to 483 of the family's 1533-position model. Lineage: Bacteria; Pseudomonadati; Pseudomonadota; Gammaproteobacteria; Oceanospirillales; Halomonadaceae. The record is from RNAcentral.
CUUGAGCUUGAUCAUGGCUCAGAUUGAACGCUGGCGGCAGGCCUAACACAUGCAAGUCGAGCGGCAGCACGGGAAGCUUGCUUCCUGGUGGCGAGCGGCGGACGGGUGAGUAAUGCAUAGAAAUCUGCCCGGUAGUGGGGGAUAACCUGGGGAAACCCAGGCUAAUACCGCAUACGUCCUACGGGAGAAAGCAGGGGAUCUUCGGACCUUGCGCUAUCGGAUGAGUCUAUGUCGGAUUAGCUUGUUGGUGAGGUAAUGGCUCACCAAGGCGACGAUCCGUAGCUGGUCUGAGAGGAUGAUCAGCCACAUCGGGACUGAGACACGGCCCGAACUCCUACGGGAGGCAGCAGUGGGGAAUAUUGGACAAUGGGCGAAAGCCUGAUCCAGCCAUGCCGCGUGUGUGAAGAAGGCCUUCGGGUUGUAAAGCACUUUCAGUGGGGAAGAAAGCCUUGGGGCUAAUACCCUCGAGGAAGGACUCACCCCCA